Molecule: transfer RNA, 108 nt
Organism: Trichosporon asahii var. asahii CBS 8904
Lineage: Eukaryota; Fungi; Basidiomycota; Tremellomycetes; Trichosporonales; Trichosporonaceae
Rfam family: tRNA
About the family: Transfer RNA (tRNA) molecules are approximately 80 nucleotides in length. Their secondary structure includes four short double-helical elements and three loops (D, anti-codon, and T loops).
Source: Rfam
GGAUCGAUACCCAAGUCCGGUUUAAGGGGCUCGACUCAAGUCGAUAGACUUUGUCCGACAGGAUUUUCGAGUGCGUAAGCAUCGUGGGUUCGAAUCCCACUCGAUUCA